AAACUGCGAUAAGUAGCGUGAAUUGCAGACGCUUUGAACGUUAAACUUUCGAACGCACAUUGCGCCGUAGGAGUCCUACCCUGCGGCACAUCUGGUUGAGGGUCGUGAUCAAAAACAGCAGGACUAUGGCUAUAAUAGAAAUAGCUGGUGAAUCACGAGUUCGGCCUACCUCCUCUGGCCGAACGCGUUUUGCCAUAAUGCUAGAAGAGGACAAUCGCUCGCAAGAGAGAUUGCCUACCACACGGAUGAUCUAUUAGCUGAAGCAAUAGGUCUCGGUCACCGGGUAUCAUGCUUAUAUACUCUGUGGCGUCUGAGAUACAGCUAGUGGGCUUCAUACGUGCCUGGUAUUGAGAGUAUUCGCUCUCCCGACCUCAACUCAGGUGUGAUUACCCGCUGAACUUAAGC
Molecule: unclassified non-coding RNA, 405 nt
Filed under: plant metagenome
Description: partial contains 5.8S ribosomal RNA, internal transcribed spacer 2, and large subunit ribosomal RNA
Rfam family: 5.8S ribosomal RNA (bases 1-105)
Source: RNAcentral